AUUGAACGCUGGCGGCAUGCUUUACACAUGCAAGUCGACGGGAACAGGCCUUCGGGGUGUUGCGAAUUGGGGACGGGGGAGGAAUUGAUCGGGAACGUGCCAAGAGGUGGGGGAAACGGAAGCGAAAGCUGUCUUAUAACCGCAUGUGAUUGAGGGUGGAAGCGGGGGGCCCGGCAGGAAAUGUUUGCCUUCGCGCCUUUGGAGGGCCGGAUGUCGAAUUAGGUAGUUGGUGGGGUAAAGGCCUACAAAGCCGACGAUCUGUAGCUGGUCUGAGAGGACGACCAGCCACACUGGGACUGAGACACGGCCCAGACUCCUACGGGAGGCAGCAGUGGGGAAUUUUGGACAAUGGGCGCAAGCCUGAUCCAGCAAUGCCGCGUGCGGGAAGAAGGCCUUCGGGUUGUAAACCGCUUUUGUACGGAACGAAAAGGCUCUGGCUAAUACCUGGGGCUGAUGACGGUACCGUAAGAAUAAGCACCGGCUAACUACGUG
This 492-nucleotide ribosomal RNA is filed under the name uncultured bacterium. RNAcentral's name for it is "partial 16S ribosomal RNA". It matches the Rfam family "Bacterial small subunit ribosomal RNA", at positions 29 to 507 of the family's 1533-position model. The record is from RNAcentral.